This 208-nucleotide unclassified non-coding RNA is filed under the name soil metagenome. Its description in RNAcentral is "partial contains 5.8S ribosomal RNA, internal transcribed spacer 2, and large subunit ribosomal RNA". The record is from RNAcentral.
AACCAUUCUCACCUGCGGCUAGACCUGCGGAAGGAUCAUUACCGAGUUUACAACUCCCAAACCCCUGUGAACAUACCAAUUGUUGCCUCGGCGGAUCAGCCCGCUCCCGGUAAAACGGGGCGGCCCGCCAGAGGACUCCUAAACUCUGUUUCUAUAUGUAACUUCUGAGUAAAACCAUAAAUAAAUCAAAACUUUCAACAAUGGAUCU